UUUUUCAGUUUUAACUUUGUUUCCUUUUUGUUCUCCCUCUCUUCGACUCUUCGACUCUCUGUCUCUCGUCGUCCGUCAUCUCGAAACUUCUCCUUCUCUUCUCCUUUCCUACCUGUGCUCUCCGCUUCAGCCUUCUCCCUCUCCAUCUCCUUAGAAAACCCUUCAAUGCCUUCAUACUUCAACUGGUUUCAGGCCGCCGCAGCUUUGAUCUUUCCUUGUUGACGAGGACCGUCGGCGUUGGGUUCUGCCAUUCUGGUGACCCUGGUAAAACACCGACAACUCUCUCCAUCUCUCGUCGCAGUGAGCCAGUGAGUACCUCUUUGCCCAUUUGUUCUCUCUAUCGUAUCAAAAUUUUUUCCCCAAGUGAAACCCUCGUAAGUUCGUUACUCCGUGUCAUCCUUCAAGGUUUCAGAGGGGGUUCGGGCAGGACUGAAGGCAGCAGCCAUUGCUAGUGUGGCUAGCGCCAUUCCAACGGGCCAAAAGAAGUUGCUAUCUCAGAAAAGUCAGCAAAGUGAACCUGUCACUUUCACAUUACAUGAUUGCGUUGCUUGCAGUGGUUGUAUAACAUCAGUUGAGACUGUGAUGCUUCAACAAACAGUGCUUGGAGAGUUUAUUUCUUCUUAAUAAUCAAAGCAAAAGUCUGUUAUAGUUUCCAUGUUACCUCAAUCAAGAGCAUCAUUAGCAAACCAAGGUUCCUGUCACAGCCAGAAACAAACCAAGGUCUGUGCUUGGAAUUUAAAUUACAAGUCUGUUCACAUAUUUUUAUAUAUUUCUCAAAGCGUAUCCAAAUAUCAACUUCAUUGGCCUCAUAUUGGGCCCUGAGAACAGUAUAAGAAAGCGGCUUGAAGAGAAUUCCACAAAGCACCUCGAACAGCAAUCUUAUCCAAGAAACUUGAGCUCAUAAAACUCGCUGGUUCGGCUCGGCUCCCAACAAAUGAAGAAAAGGCAUCUCAUUCUCGGUUUGUUGGUUUGGCUUCAUUUCUCAGCCUCACAACUAUCACCACAACUGGCGGGGCUCAUCACAUGUGGUGCUUCGGAAACAAAGAUAUAAAAAGGAAUGGUAAACCCUGUUUCUUUACAUUUCUCAAGAACCUUUCUUCUUCUCCCUCAAAAAGAUUGUAGGAAAGCUGAAAAAGGCUAUUGAGAAACAGGCUUCAGCUUUCCUUUUUUUAUAUCUUUGUUUCCAAGCACCAUCCAAUCAUUUGUUGUGAUGACCCCACUAAUGGUGGUAGUGAGACUGAAAAUUGAGAAAUGAAACCGAACAAACCAGCCGAUAUGCCUUGGCUUCACCGGUGGGCAGCCAAAUUGAACCAGUGAGUUUUAUGAGCUCCACCGUUCACAUGGAUUGAUAAAGGUUUCCAGGUUUUCAGUAUUUUCUGUUACAAUUAAGAGUUGAUGGUCGUCUAAACACAAACAUGGGGAAGUGACAUCCAGAUUCUUUUUAAAGAAACUCUGGUUAUUGUAUCAAGAGAAUUCUUAGAAACACGAAUCACGUUUGAAGGAUAAUGACAAGUAUGACCGAGUUUUGGACUCCCCAAUUCACAGCUAAAUGUGUUCCGUCCUCUCUAAUAAGUAUUUCGAGAAAGACAUAAACUUCACUGAGAUUAAGAACACCCACUUAUCGCAAGCCCCCAGAUUUGGACAAGGAAAAAGAUAGAAGAAUAACCGAAUGAACAAUGAAAUCUCGAGACCAGGAGACUUCAAAAAAUAGCACCUUAAAACGUCCUCAUUUCCUUAAUCAAUCUUUCUUUCCUCUAACAAAAAAACGACUUGCGUGGAUGGUGCUAUUGUAGUGGAUGGUGCUACGAAAGAAAGACUAAUGAAAAAAAUAAGGAAAGUCCCUUGAUUUUUUUUCAUUGUUCAUUCAAUUAUUCUUUUUAUCUUUUUCUCACCCCAAAUCUAGGGGCUUGAGAUAAUUGGGUGUUCUGAACGUACCUAUACUCAAAUUUGUUUAAGAAAUGACGGCAAUUAUGCUUUUUGAUCAACACAAACAAAUCCAAGCAUGUGUUGUUUCAUUAGUAAGAAAAACUGUAGAUGCGGGCGUACUGCUCUAGAAGAGAGGAACUUUUCCUGGCUUUUUGAACUGAGCAAGCAGGUCGCUCAGUUCGACUUAGCUCAUAACCAGUUCGUCGUCGAGUUAGUUUGGUAAUCUUACUAAGUAAACCGCGGCUCAUCGAGAAGGGCUUUUCGAAAAAGAAAAGUGGACAGGAAACCUCUCAGGGGAGGAAGGGCACGCGAACACAGAAAAAAGAGCAGAUGA
Nymphaea colorata (pocket water lily) is the source of this 2260-nucleotide long non-coding RNA. RefSeq lists it as uncharacterized. NCBI's taxonomy places the organism in Eukaryota, Viridiplantae, Streptophyta, Magnoliopsida, Nymphaeales, Nymphaeaceae. The record is from RefSeq and is a predicted model, not a curated record. The transcript has 6 exons.